Molecule: ribosomal RNA, 239 nt
Filed under: uncultured bacterium
Lineage: Bacteria
Description: partial 16S ribosomal RNA
Rfam family: Bacterial small subunit ribosomal RNA
Source: RNAcentral
AUAGUGGCGCACGGGUGAGUAAUACGUAACUGACCUACCGAGAAGUCUUCCAUAACAGUCCGAAAGGGUUGCUAAUAGGGGAUGUGCUCGCUCCUUGUGGGGGGUGAGUAAAGGCUUGUCCGCUUCUUGAUGGGGUUGCGGCCCAUCAGCUUGUUGGUGAGGUAAUGGCUUACCAAGGCUUCGACGGGUAACCGGCCUGAGAGGGUGGUCGGUCACAGGGGCACUGAGAUACGGGUCCC